CCAGGCCCGAGUGCCGCCGUCACCACCAGCGCCCGACUCCGAGCUCCUCCUCCCGUGCGCCUCCUCCCUGGCCUCCCUCGCGCGUCGUCCGGCGACCGGCGCCGCCGCCGCCGACCACCCAGGUCACGCCGCCGCUUCCAUGCCUUUUCUCUCUCUAAUCUUCUUGUCUCUCCUCUCCAGGAGCUCAGCGCCAGCGCCAUGGAUGUCCAGUCCUCGAGCUCUCCUCGGAGGUUCGAACGCCGCCACGGGACCUCCACCAGCCAGAUCCGGCGCCUACCUCCCGGAUCCGCGCUCCCUCCACCUCCUCUACCCGAUCCGGCGCCGCCGAACCCGCCAUGACCUCCACCAUGGAGUUCCUAUAGCUCGUCCCCUGCCUCCUCGUCCUGUGCUAGAGGGAGACGCCCCUCCAGCGCAUCCAGGACAAGGCCCACCACCAGCCGGUCGUUGUUGCACUCGCCGGCGACCUCACCCUCCCCUCUGCACUGCCCUCCACCUCAACUAAUGCUUCUCAUCAUCAGGGAUAGAUUUAGCUGGUCAUAGCUUGUGGAUGUUCUCUGUUAAUUUUUGCACACAAGGUGUUUGUGUGUUUGUCCAAGCCAAUGUUCAUGAGCUUUAUCUUUUCUAUAAAUGACAUGGCUGAGAAAGUCCCUUCAAUGAAAGGAGGAGGAGUAUAGUCUUGGCCAUGGCUGGGAAGGAAGGAUAACAUGCCUUCAUGCUGGACAGAGGAGGAGAAGAAGGGGGGCACGUCGAAGGUGCCGGUGGAGCGCGCCGUCGAGAUCGUUGAUGACAGCGACACGGGCGAGGCCGGGGAGGAGGUCAUGGUUGAUGCUUUACUGCCUGAAUAUGUUGACCGGGAACAAGAGGGUAAGGUGGAUGUGAGGGCGGAGGCGCAUGCCAUGGUGCAGGAUGUUGUGGAAGCCUAAUUAUUUGAGGAAGUGACAGCCACUGGGAGCAUGGAUCGACAGACUAGACAGCAGACCAAGUCCAUUGAUCGGCUGAUUCAACAACGAAGGAAGAGGCAGAAGGUUAUAAAAACGAGCUUGGGGAUUUACUGACCUGAAUCUUAAACAGGGCCGCCCUGCUGGUGGACUCAAGCUCCAGGUUUGCUCCUAGCACGUCUUAAUUAAUUACAUUGGCUCUUGACAAAAUGUCUAGCAUCAUGGAUAAUGAAUUCAUUCUGUGAUGCCACAUAGAUAUGCAAAGUCAUAGUCCUGCAUGUAUGGACAUCUACUGAUACAUACAAGCCGAUCGACGGGCACACACAUUAGUAAGUUCUGCUACUAGCCUAAUCAAGAGCCUUUUAUACAACCCCGCAAAAAAAGAAGCCUUUUAUACAGCCUUGCAGAUUAAAAAUGAAUUGAAUUAUGAGCAUCUGACAACUACGAUCAAUUUCCUGGUUAUACUUCCUGAAAUAAAGGUGGCCGACCAAAUGAAAGGAUGGAUGCUUUCCUUUAUGUGAGAUUAUAUACAUUAUCUUACUUGAUCUGCAAUGUUUCUUUGGAAAUUUUUUUGAAAGACACAUGACACAUAGUUUGCUGGAUAGGUCUAAGAUAAAUAUUUCAGUUAUAGGAGGAUAUUUUUAAAUGGGUAAUACUAUUACCGCCAUCUGCUUGGCCUGUUGUGCUUUCGUUAGAGCUUUCAUAUUUCAACACAAAAAAAUAACAAUGCAAGUUGGGACCAGAAUAGCACACACAUCCUCAAAGGAAACAUCAGUUGGGAGUGCUCAAGUAUUCAGUUUCUUGGAUGAUGUAUUAUGUUCUCGCUUAUCAUGUACUCCCUUUGUAAACAAAUAUAAGACCUUUUAUAUAGAUAACUAAAGUAGUGAUCUAACAGGUCCUAUAUUUGUUAGAGGGAGUAUGUUUCUAGAUAUCCGUCAACUCCAAUGUUUCAUUUAUCUACUCUCUGAAUAUGAAGAAGAUAGGCUUGCAAAGUAGCUUUUUAUGUGAAUAAUGUGACAAACAUUUAUGUCUUAUAACUGCAAACAUUUUUUUGUUUAGUCCGUCACCGAGCAAAUGUUUGGGAGUUGGAAAUUAUUUGGAUACACAUGAUCUUAGCAAAGAAAGAUUCAAACAUACUACAACCAAAGGACCUCCUUCACUCUCUGUGCAACUACAGAAAUUAUCCUUAUGAGCAGCACCCUAGGUUUAGUUGUGGGUUCUAACAUAUUAGAGAUGUGGUUAGAAUACCUACUGCUCUGAACAAUUAAGUGGUUUGUAUAAACCACCGAUCCCCUCGUGCAGUGUACAAUGUGAUAUGGAUCAUCAUAGGAUCAAACUUAAUACAGGAAGUACACACUUAAUUGUUUCUGAACUAUACUACUUUUUAUGUUCAUUCUCCUGUCCUUUUAAAUCUCUAAUUUAGUUGCAAGUAUUUUAUUUGUUAUCGUUUGGCUUCUUAAGAACAAAUCUAGCAAGUUUGGCUUCUUAAGAACAAAUCUAGCAAGCAACGACUCGACUGAUGAAAGAGAUGUUGACCAUCUUUGCUGCAGUGAGGUACCUUCUUGAUCAUGUUACUAAUCUGUAUCUACAUUAUUCAGAUGUGAAACUCAUGCUUCUUGAAACAUCUGCAACACAUAUGUGCACUCUGAAAUGGUAAAAUAUUUGCAUUCUAUAGUACUUCAAGUUUGUGUAGCAUCCCCAUAUUUCCUGCGACCCAGUUCCUUGAACUGGCUAACCCUUAUUGAUGUCAUAUGUCCUGAACUGACUCUCAUGACCAAGUUCCUCAACACGUCCGCCCCUCACAGGCAUGUUGUGCAGUGGCUCAAUUCAUCGCAUUAUGAUUGAACACAUUUGGACACAUUAGGAUUAGGUGAACACUGAACACUGCCAACAUCGGUGAGGGUGGUCAGGAAGAAAAGCCAAAACCACCAGACGAAGGGGCGCUGGUCUCUGGUUCUUUGCGAAGGCCACCGCAGCUCAUCUCCAAGACCUCUGCUGUCGUGUGUCCCCCAAGUUCUUCACCGAAUCUCCUCGCCCGCUGGCUGCUGCUCUUCUUCUCCCUCGAACACAUCUCUGCUUCUGAUCCUCUGCUGCCGCCCCUAACCUGCUGCUUCUGCUCUCUGAUGCUGCCCUCGACUGCUGUACCGCUCCUUCUCCAACGAACUGUUGUUCCUAAUCUUCUCUGAACCCAAACUGUUGCUGCUCCGCUUCCUCUCUGAACCUCAGUCUGCUGCUGCUUCUCUGAUUCAGAGUAAACCAAUAAGCAGGAAUUCUAGGUCGUUUUUCCUUUGGUAACAGUUAUUGUUAGUUCUAAACAAUUUUUCAGGGCCACGAUUAGGCUUCCAAGGGUUCAGAAAAUGAUGAAGAAGCCUUUUAUAUCACACACUAUAUAACAUCAUGGAAUCACAACCUUAUAACAACUAAUUUAAGAGGCUAUGUUCUGGUUUGCUGUAUCUCCACCAGUUUGGGUUGGUCUGAUAGCUAACCUAAACUGAAUAGGGAAUCAGGAGUACUUUAGUUGGUAUUGAAAGUGGUAUGUUUACUUUCAAGCUGAAAAUCUUUGCAAGUUUGGUCCUGGGAUAUUUAAUGCUCCCUUUUCUUAUUAUCUUCCAAUCAUACUAUACAUAUUUAGUUUUUUUUUUACUUUCUCUUGACAAGUGAACUGAAUUAUUCAUGGAGAAUCUGGUUAUGGUAAAUUUUAUUAUGGAGAUUCAUCCGAUGUAAUAGAAUAGCUUUAUUUGCUAAAAUCAAUACAUAACUAUAGUGUUGUAUGGUUACAACAUGUAGAGUUUUGCAAGUGAGAGUUACAGGAAGUCACUAUUGCAAGAUGGCAUUCAAUUAACACACGUACAAUCGACUGAUCACUGUAUCUUUUUUUGCUAAUUUAAUUUGAAAAAGCUAUUGCAAACAAUUUUUUCUUCUGAAAUCAUAUACUCUGUUUAUUUCUAAUGUGAUUUUGUUACUGUUUGUAUGGUAUUUCUCUGUCUAAAUUUUUUGUUACAUAAAUCAAUCUGCAUAUAUGUGUGCAGGCUGUGAAUCGACAAACAGCCCAGAAAAUAUGGCAUGCUACAUACCCUGUGAGUCUGUGACAGUACAUUAUCAGAAAUACUUAUAUUUUUGAUAAACGCAUCUCUCAUCCAUCAUGACAUAGAUGUGAUGCGUUGCAAGUGUUUUUUUUCGUUCUCUCGCGAUGCGUCGAGUACAUGAUGGAUGGUCUAAUCGUUCAGUGUGUCAUGUGUACUCAGUCACUUGUGUCAUCUUCAGAUUUUAGAAGUCAAAAUUCUAGCUUUAGCUCUAUAUUUAAGAAUUUUUCUACGGCAAAUGCAAGAAAAAUAAAGCGUCCUUCUGCUCUCAUUAUGAGGAAGUUCUGAAAAAUUGAGGCAUUUGUAUGAAUUUCUAUUCUUCAUUAUAAAUUAUCCUUUCAAGUUUAGAAAAUAAAACAUGAUAUACUCUGUAUGUCUCUGUUCUACACUACCACUACCAUUUUAUUGCUGCAAAACGCCAAUGAAAAAGUCAUUACUAUUUUCCACGUUUUUAUACAAUCAAGCUGAAAGAGCAAUAAAAUGAUCUGUUUUUGACAUCGCCUCAGAUCUUACCGAAAGGCAAUGUGCUUAUAAUGUACAUCUAGAUAACAAUAAUGUGUUUGGGAAUGAUUCAUUUGUCGACGGCCAGCCAUGUGGGGUGUGAGGGACGAUACUUAUAUCACUUAGUGGCCAAGGGAAUGACAUCACAAAAGUUUAUCUAACAUCCUAGGAGAAGAUGGACACAUGUUCCUAUAUUGCUUCUCUACAAUUGCUUUCACCAUUUGAUCAUCCAUGUAAUUUAUAGCAUCCAUGCAUAGCUUAUCCAUAUGCUGUUUGUAUUCACUUAUUCCUUUUGUUGACAUGGCUAGGAGGCUACUAUGAAUGUCACAUAGAUUGUAAUUUAACCUCCUUACAAAUAAUUAACGUUCAAACAUUCCAGUGGAGGAAUCUCAAGACUUAGGAAUGGUGCCCCGACAAUUGUGAGCGGCACAAAGGAAGGGCCGCCAUCACCAAGGAAGUACGCUGACAAUUGUGGACUCCAAAGAGGAACAAGCUCUAUAUUUAGUGCAUUAAGUUGCUAUUUUAAAUUCUGAGAGGUGUUGAAUUUUGUCGAUUUCUAAGACAUUAACUCGGAAGAAUUAUUAUUUUGCUUGAUGUAAACUCAGAUUAAUUUGUCAUGUCAUUUGAACCGAA
Triticum aestivum (bread wheat) is the source of this 5155-nucleotide long non-coding RNA. RefSeq lists it as uncharacterized. The record is from RefSeq and is a predicted model, not a curated record. Lineage: Eukaryota; Viridiplantae; Streptophyta; Magnoliopsida; Poales; Poaceae. The transcript is spliced from 3 exons.